This 431-nucleotide ribosomal RNA is filed under the name uncultured bacterium. RNAcentral's name for it is "bacterial SSU rRNA". It matches the Rfam family "Bacterial small subunit ribosomal RNA", at positions 355 to 786 of the family's 1533-position model. The record is from RNAcentral.
UGAGGAAUAUUGGUCAAUGGACGAAAGUCUGAACCAGCCAUGCCGCGUGCAGGAAGACGGUCCUAUGGAUUGUAAACUGCUUUUAUACGGGAAGAAACCUCUCUACGCGUAGAGACUUGACGGUACCGUAAGAAUAAGGAUCGGCUAACUCCGUGCCAGCAGCCGCGGUAAUACGGAGGAUUCGAGCGUUAUCCGGAAUCAUUGGGUUUAAAGGGUCCGUAGGCGGGUUAGUAAGUCAGGGUGGAAGUUUCGGCUUAACCGAAAAUUGCCUUUGAUACUGCUAGUCUUGAAUAUUUGUGAAGUAACUAGAAUAUGUGGUGUAGCGGUGAAAUGCAUAGAUAUCACAUGGAAUACCGAUUGCGAAGGCAGGUUACUAACAGAUUAUUGACGCUGAUGGACGAAAGCGUGGGUAGCGAACAGGAUUAGAUACC